CCUACGGGGGGCAGCAGUGGGGAAUAUUGCACAAUGGGCGCAAGCCUGAUGCAGCCAUGCCGCGUGUGUGAAGAAGGCCUUCGGGUUGUAAAGCACUUUCAGCGGGGAGGAAGGCGUUAAGGUUAAUAACCUCAUCGAUUGACGUUACCCGCAGAAGAAGCACCGGCUAACUCCGUGCCAGCAGCCGCGGUAAUACGGAGGGUGCAAGCGUUAAUCGGAAUUACUGGGCGUAAAGCGCACGCAGGCGGUCUGUCAAGUCGGAUGUGAAAUCCCCGGGCUCAACCUGGGAACUGCAUUCGAAACUGGCAGGCUAGAGUCUUGUAGAGGGGGGUAGAAUUCCAGGUGUAGCGGUGAAAUGCGUAGAGAUCUGGAGGAAUACCGGUGGCGAAGGCGGCCCCCUGGACAAAGACUGACGCUCAGGUGCGAAAGCGUGGGGAGCAAACAGGAUUAGAUACCCGAGUAGUC
Molecule: ribosomal RNA, 465 nt
Filed under: uncultured Klebsiella sp.
Lineage: Bacteria; Pseudomonadati; Pseudomonadota; Gammaproteobacteria; Enterobacterales; Enterobacteriaceae
Description: bacterial SSU rRNA
Rfam family: Bacterial small subunit ribosomal RNA
Source: RNAcentral